Molecule: ribosomal RNA, 439 nt
Filed under: uncultured bacterium
Lineage: Bacteria
Description: bacterial SSU rRNA
Rfam family: Bacterial small subunit ribosomal RNA
Source: RNAcentral
CCUACGGGGGGCAGCAGUGGGGAAUUUUGCGCAAUGCUCGUAAGAGUGACGCAGCGACGCCGCGUGAAUGACGAAGGCCUUCGGGUCGUAAAGUUCUUUCGACAGGGAAGAAAAUGCCUAUAAGUAACUGUGUAUGUAUUGACGGUACCUGUAUAAGCAGCCCCGGCUAACUCCGUGCCAGCAGCCGCGGUAAUACGGAGGGGGCGAGCGUUGUUCGGAGUGACUGGGCGUAAAGAGCACGUAGGCGGUGUUGUAAGUCAUUAGUCAAAGACUAGAGCUCAACUUUAGUAAGGCUAGUGAUACUAUAAUACUAGAGUAUCAGAGAGGAUUGCAGAAUUCCUGGUGUAGCGGUGAAAUGCGUAGAUAUCAGGAGGAAUACCGUUAGCGAAGGCGGCAAUCUGGCUGGAAACUGACGCUGAGGUGCGAAAGCGUGGGUAGC